Molecule: ribosomal RNA, 322 nt
Filed under: uncultured eukaryote
Lineage: Eukaryota
Description: partial 18S ribosomal RNA
Rfam family: Eukaryotic small subunit ribosomal RNA
Source: RNAcentral
CCCUUAGAUGUUCUGGGCCGCACGCGUGCUACACUGAGUGGAUCAGCGGGUCAGGUUGCGCGAAAGUGUUUCCUAAUCUUGAAAUCCGCUCGUGAUGGGGAUUGACGGUUGCAAUUUUCCGUCAUGAACGAGGAAUACCUUGUAAGCGCGGGUCAUCAUCCCGCGCUGAAUACGUCCCUGCCCUUUGUACACACCGCCCGUCGCUCCUACCGAUUGAGUGGUCCGGUGAGGCUUUGGGAUCUGAGCGGAAAGAGCGUUUCGCUGUUUCUGCUCGGAAAACUCAGUCGAACCUUAUCAUUGAGAGGAAGGAGAAGGCGUAACA